GAAAAAUCUCAUGAGUGUGUUUACUGCUCUGAUAGAGAGUCUAUACAGCAUUUAUUUUUCGAGUGUGUUGUUGCUAAGCAAAUAUGGAAAGCUGUUUCAGAUUUCUUCUCCUGCUCCCUGGGAGCUGAUUACCUUUCCAUUGCUGAAAUUUGGAUAGCCAAUAAGAAACACACCGCUCUAAAUUCUAUUUGUGCAUGUGUACUUUGGGCUAUGUGGAAACAUAGAAGCUCUUGUAUCUUUAGAAAUGUAAUGUGGAUUGAUUUGAAAUAGAUCUGGAACUUGAUGCUGGGGCUCUUGAGGAGAUGGUUGAUUCUUCUCAAGGACGCACCUCGUCUAAAGAUGGAGGAGUUCAUGACCAGAGUUUCCUUGAUCCUGAACACCCCUUUCCAGCUCACAGCGGGGUAG
This 405-nucleotide ribosomal RNA is filed under the name Triticum aestivum (bread wheat). Its description in RNAcentral is "partial small subunit ribosomal RNA". The record is from RNAcentral. Lineage: Eukaryota; Viridiplantae; Streptophyta; Magnoliopsida; Poales; Poaceae.